AGCUUUGCUGCAGUGGCAGUAUCGUAACCAAUGAGGUUUAUCUGAGGCGCGAUUACUGCUAAGUGAAAAAAAAGUCAAUAUGAAUUAUUUUUAAAGAAAGGAAGGAGGAGACAUUAUAACUGAU
This is a small nuclear RNA of Equus asinus (donkey), 124 nucleotides long. Its record names the gene U4. It matches the Rfam family "U4 spliceosomal RNA". From Rfam's summary of the family: U4 small nuclear RNA (U4 snRNA) is a component of the major U2-dependent spliceosome. The structure of U4 snRNA from yeast and human has been reported. NCBI's taxonomy places the organism in Eukaryota, Metazoa, Chordata, Mammalia, Perissodactyla, Equidae. The record is from Ensembl.